RNAcentral lists this ribosomal RNA (445 nucleotides) under uncultured bacterium. RNAcentral's name for it is "bacterial SSU rRNA". It matches the Rfam family "Bacterial small subunit ribosomal RNA", at positions 330 to 792 of the family's 1533-position model. The record is from RNAcentral.
ACCAGACUCCUACGGGAGGCAGCAGUGGGGAAUAUUGUACAAUGGGGGAAACCCUGAUGCAGCGACGCCGCGUGAGUGAAGAAGUAAUUCGUUAUGUAAAGCUCUAUCAGCAGGGAAGAAAAUGACGGUACCUGAGUAAGAAGCCCCGGCUAACUACGUGCCAGCAGCCGCGGUAAUACGUAGGGGGCAAGCGUUAUCCGGAUUUACUGGGUGUAAAGGGAGCGUAGACGGCAUGGCAAGUCAGAUGUGAAAGCCCGGGGCUCAACCCCGGGACUGCAUUUGAAACUGUCAGGCUGGAGUGCAGGAGAGGUAAGUGGAAUUCCUAGUGUAGCGGUGAAAUGCGUAGAUAUUAGGAGGAACACCAGUGGCGAAGGCGGCUUGCUGGACAGUAACUGACGCUGAGGCGCGAAAGCGUGGGGAGCAAACAGGAUUAGAUACCCCAGUA